This 310-nucleotide long non-coding RNA is filed under the name Elaeis guineensis (African oil palm). Its description in RNAcentral is "long non-coding RNA (EGUI_LNC051194)". Lineage: Eukaryota; Viridiplantae; Streptophyta; Magnoliopsida; Arecales; Arecaceae. The record is from RNAcentral.
UGCGCUCACACCUUGAGAAGUGCAAUUCAAACAAAUUCUACCUCUAUCAUCGUGACCACAGCCACGACACGGAGGAGUGUAUUCAGCUUCGAGACGAGAUCGAGGAGCUCAUCAGACGAGGUCGGCUCAACAGAUUCAUUCGAUGCUGACCCGAAGGAAGGGAAGAUCGUCCUAGAGUCCUGCCGCAGUCGGAGCCACCAAGGAGGGAAGAGCAACCUGAAGAUCGGCCUCCGAUUGGGAUUAUCAACUCCAUCUCAGGAGAACCCUGACGGGGAGCAGACCUUCCGCGGCUAUAGGAUUCAAAAAAUCU